Esox lucius (northern pike) is the source of this 1179-nucleotide long non-coding RNA. NCBI's taxonomy places the organism in Eukaryota, Metazoa, Chordata, Actinopteri, Esociformes, Esocidae. The record is from Ensembl.
CUGAAAAGGAUGCUGCUGUGAAUGGUGAUAUGUCUAUGCCAGCUCAUUGUUUCUAUAUCAGAGUUUUCAUUUUCAGGUGUUGUUUCAUGGCUGACUACAAUUCUUUGUCUUUUAUAAUGAUCAUUGUUUUUCUAACAUAAUAGAAGAGCAAGAGGAGACUGCAGUGGGUUGUUAGGGCUAGAGUCAGGUCUAGAGACAGGGUUAGAGUCAGGGCUAGAGUUAGGUCUAGAAUCAGGGCUAGAGUCAGGUCUAACGUCAGGGCUAGAAUCAGGGCUAGAGUCAGGUCUAACGUCAGGGCUAGAAUCAGGGCUAGAAUCAAGGCUACAGUCAGGGUUAUAGUCUGGGCUAGAAUCAGGGUUACAAAUCAGGGUUAAUCAGGAUUGGUUUCCCCAAGAAAGGUUAACUUCAUACAAUGAGUGAAUGUGUCUGAAAGUGAGUGUAGCUAAAUCAUUAGGACGAUCAAAACAACCUGGGUGUAACUUAGGUGGUGCCCCAUUCAAAGCUGACAGUGUCAGGUUUAGGUUGAGCCUACAGUGUCAGGGUUAGGUUUAGCCUACAGUGUCUGGGUUAGGGUUAGCCUACAGUGUUAGGGUUAGGGUUAGGGUUAGCCUACAGUGUCAGGGUUAGGGUUAGCCUACAGUGUCUGGGUUAGGGUUAGCCUACAGUGUCAGGGUUAGGUUUAGCCUACAGUGUCUGGGUUAGGGUUAGCCUACAGUGUCAGCGUUAGCCUACAGUAUAAUGGUUAGGUUUAAGAUUAGCAUACAGUGUCCGGGUAAGUUUAAGUUUAGCCUACUACAUAGUUGGCUCAAAACAACAGACAUAAUUAAACGUGUUGUAAAAUGAAAUCCAACAGUAUAUUACAUUGUUGCAUACUGUACAUUGUGCUUGGUGGUUCUGGAUAAUGCACUGCACUCUUGGAAAACAUGGGGCCUUGAAGAACCUUCAGUGGUGGUAACAAUAGCCAUGGCAGUGGAACAUUUCUUUGUCAAAAGUUUUUUUUUUGAAACCCAUAAAACAGGUGUAUCAGGAACCCUGUGUGAAGGUUCCCAUUGUUUUGAUAAGGGUUCAAUAUAGAACGCUUUUAAUAGUAUUUUGUAGUCCAUUGGACUAGAGUAGCAUAUUGAAAGUAUUGCUUUCUAACUGUAUUUUGGCCACCUGUUAGCCCAAAUUUCAUUCCUG